CUCGUAGGCGGUUCGUCGCGUCCGGUGUGAAAGUCCAUCGCCUAACGGUGGAUCUGCGCCGGGUACGGGCGGGCUGGAGUGCGGUAGGGGAGACUGGAAUUCCCGGUGUAACGGUGGAAUGUGUAGAUAUCGGGAAGAACACCAAUGGCGAAGGCAGGUCUCUGGCCGUUACUGACGCUGAGAUGCGAAAGCGUGGGGAGGCAAAACA
This 208-nucleotide ribosomal RNA is filed under the name uncultured bacterium. RNAcentral's name for it is "partial 16S ribosomal RNA". It matches the Rfam family "Bacterial small subunit ribosomal RNA", at positions 568 to 776 of the family's 1533-position model. The record is from RNAcentral.